AGAUUGAACGCUGGCGGCAGGCCUAACACAUGCAAGUCGAGCGGUAGAGAGGUGCUUGCACCUCUUGAGAGCGGCGGACGGGUGAGUAAUGCCUAGGAAUCUGCCUAGUGGUGGGGGAUAACGUUCGGAAACGGACGCUAAUACCGCAUACGUCCUACGGGAGAAAGCGGGGGACCUUCGGGCCUCGCGCCAUUAGAUGAGCCUAGGUCGGAUUAGCUAGUUGGUGAGGUAAUGGCUCACCAAGGCGACGAUCCGUAACUGGUCUGAGAGGAUGAUCAGUCACACUGGAACUGAGACACGGUCCAGACUCCGUA
This 314-nucleotide ribosomal RNA is filed under the name uncultured soil bacterium. RNAcentral's name for it is "bacterial SSU rRNA". It matches the Rfam family "Bacterial small subunit ribosomal RNA", at positions 26 to 342 of the family's 1533-position model. The record is from RNAcentral.